GGCAGAUCUAUUUUGGCUCAAAUGUGUAGC
RNAcentral lists this non-coding RNA (30 nucleotides) under Rattus norvegicus (Norway rat). Lineage: Eukaryota; Metazoa; Chordata; Mammalia; Rodentia; Muridae. The record is from RNAcentral.